Molecule: ribosomal RNA, 407 nt
Filed under: uncultured bacterium
Lineage: Bacteria
Description: partial 16S ribosomal RNA
Rfam family: Bacterial small subunit ribosomal RNA
Source: RNAcentral
AAUUUUGGACAAUGGGGGAAACCCUGAUCCAGCCAUCCCGCGUGUAUGAUGAAGGCCUUCGGGUUGUAAACCUCUUUCAGUAGGGAAGAAGCCUUUCGGGGUGACGGUACCUGCAGCAGAAGCUCCGGCUAACUACGUGCCAGCAGCCGCGGUAAUACGUAGGGCGCAAGCGUUGUCCGGAAUUAUUGGGCGUAAAGAGCUCGUAGGCGGCUUGUCGCGUCUGCAGUGAAAACGCAAGGCUUAACCUUGCGCCUGCAGUGGGUACGGGCAGGCUAGAUUGCGGUAGGGGAGACUGGAAUUCCUGGUGUAGCGGUGGAAUGCGCAGAUAUCAGGAGGAACACCGGUGGCGAAGGCGGGUCUCUGGGCCGUUACUGACGCUGAGGGGCGAAAGCAUGGGGAGCGAACAG